GGGUCAGUAGGUUGGUCGUGCCACCGGUACGUACUGCUCUCACUGAUUCCUCCUUCCUGAAGAACCGUAAUGCCAUUAAUUUGGUGCUGCGGGGAAACAGGACUGUUACUUUGAAAAAAUUAGAGUGUUUAAAGCAAGCUAACGCUUGAAUACAUUAGCAUGGAAUAAUGAAAUAGGACGAUCGAUCCUAUUUUGUUGGUUUCUAGGAUUGACGUA
This 216-nucleotide ribosomal RNA is filed under the name Glomeromycotina sp. RNAcentral's name for it is "partial small subunit ribosomal RNA". The stretch from base 40 to 216 matches the Rfam family "Eukaryotic small subunit ribosomal RNA", at positions 686 to 864 of the family's 1831-position model. Lineage: Eukaryota; Fungi; Glomeromycota. The record is from RNAcentral.